AUUGAACGCUGGCGGCAUGCCUAACACAUGCAAGUCGAACGGCAGCACGGGAGCUUGCUCCUGGUGGCGAGUGGCGGACGGGUGAGUAAUGCAUAGGAAUCUGCCCAGUAGCGGGGGACAACUUGGGGAAACUCAAGCUAAUACCGCAUGCGCCCUACGGGGGAAAGCGGGGGACCUUCGGGCCUCGCACUAUUGGAUGAGCCUAUGUCAGAUUAGCUUGUUGGUGGGGUAACGGCCUACCAAGGCGACGAUCUGUAGCUGGUCUGAGAGGACGAUCAGCCACACUGGGACUGAGACACGGCCCAGACUCCUACGGGAGGCAGCAGUGGGGAAUAUUGCACAAUGGGCGAAAGCCUGAUGCAGCAAUGCCGCGUGUGUGAAGAAGGCCUGCGGGUUGUAAAGCACUUUCAGUAGGGAGGAAACAGUAGCCGGUUAAUAUCCGGUUGCCUUGACGUUACCUACAGAAGAAGCACCGGCUAACUCUGCG
This 487-nucleotide ribosomal RNA is filed under the name uncultured bacterium. RNAcentral's name for it is "bacterial SSU rRNA". It matches the Rfam family "Bacterial small subunit ribosomal RNA", at positions 30 to 507 of the family's 1533-position model. The record is from RNAcentral.